UAUAACGACUCUCGGCAACGGAUAUCUCGGCUCUCGCAUCGAUGAAGAACGUAGCGAAAUGCGAUACUUGGUGUGAAUUGCAGAAUCCCGUGAACCAUCGAGUCUUUGAACGCAAGUUGCGCCCUAAGCCGUCAGGCCGAGGGCACGUCUGCCUGG
This 156-nucleotide ribosomal RNA is filed under the name Cleomella multicaulis. RNAcentral's name for it is "5.8S ribosomal RNA". It matches the Rfam family "5.8S ribosomal RNA". Rfam says of the family: 5.8S ribosomal RNA (5.8S rRNA) is a component of the large subunit of the eukaryotic ribosome. It is transcribed by RNA polymerase I as part of the 45S precursor that also contains 18S and 28S rRNA. Functionally, it is thought that 5.8S rRNA may be involved in ribosome translocation. RNAcentral also lists the same sequence under 1 other name. Lineage: Eukaryota; Viridiplantae; Streptophyta; Magnoliopsida; Brassicales; Cleomaceae. The record is from RNAcentral.